RNAcentral lists this ribosomal RNA (504 nucleotides) under uncultured bacterium. Its description in RNAcentral is "bacterial SSU rRNA". It matches the Rfam family "Bacterial small subunit ribosomal RNA", at positions 9 to 526 of the family's 1533-position model. The record is from RNAcentral.
GAGUUUGAUCCUGGCUCAGGACGAACGCUGGCGGCGCGCCUAACACAUGCAAGUCGAACGAGCGAGAGGAGGUUUACUUUCUCAAGCGAGUGGCGAACGGGUGAGUAACGCGUGAGGAACCUGCCUCAAAGAGGGGGACAACAGUUGGAAACGACUGCUAAUACCGCAUAAGCCCACGACCUGGCAUCGGGUAGAGGGAAAAGGAGCAAUCCGCUUUGAGAUGGCCUCGCGUCCGAUUAGCUAGUUGGUGAGGUAAUGGCCCACCGAGCCUACGACGGGUAGCCGGCCUGAGAGGGCGACCGGCCACAUUGGGACUGAGAUACGGCCCAGACUCCUACGGGAGGCAGCAGCGGGGAAUAUUGCACAAUGGGCGCAAGCCUGAUGCAGCGACGCCGCGUGAAGGAAGAAGUAUCUCGGUAUGUAAACUUCUAUCAGCAGGGAAGAUAGUGACGGUACCUGACUAAGAAGCCCCGGCUAACUACGUGCCAGCAGCCGCGGUAAUUC